UAGGGAAUCUUCCGCAAUGGGCGAAAGCCUGACGGAGCAACGCCGCGUGAGUGAUGAAGGUCUUCGGAUCGUAAAACUCUGUUAUUAGGGAAGAACAAAUGUGUAAGUAACUAUGCACGUCUUGACGGUACCUAAUCAGAAAGCCACGGCUAACUACGUGCCAGCAGCCGCGGUAAUACGUAGGUGGCAAGCGUUAUCCGGAAUUAUUGGGCGUAAAGCGCGCGUAGGCGGUUUUUUAAGUCUGAUGUGAAAGCCCACGGCUCAACCGUGGAGGGUCAUCGGAAACUGGAAAACUUGAGUGCAGAAGAGGAAAGUGGAAUUCCAUGUGUAGCGGUGAAAUGCGCAGAGAUAUGGAGGAACACCAGUGGCGAUGGCGACUUUCUGGUCUGUAACUGACGCUGAUGUGCGAAAGCGUGGGGAUCAAACAGG
Molecule: ribosomal RNA, 429 nt
Filed under: Actinomycetes bacterium
Lineage: Bacteria; Bacillati; Actinomycetota; Actinomycetes
Description: Actinobacteria bacterium partial 16S ribosomal RNA
Rfam family: Bacterial small subunit ribosomal RNA
Source: RNAcentral